CCAAAGGCUCUUUUCAGAGCCACCUACUGUUUCUGCUAAAGAACUG
This is a non-coding RNA of Heterocephalus glaber (naked mole-rat), 46 nucleotides long. Lineage: Eukaryota; Metazoa; Chordata; Mammalia; Rodentia; Bathyergidae. The record is from Rfam.